UUAAGUUAUUAAGGGCGCACGGUGGAUGCCUUGGCACUAGAAGCCGAUGAAGGACGUUACUAACGACGAUAUGCUUUGGGGAGCUGUAAGUAAGCUUUGAUCCAGAGAUUUCCGAAUGGGGAAACCCAGCAUGAGUUAUGUCAUGUUAUCGAUAUGUGAAUACAUAGCAUAUCAGAAGGCACACCCGGAGAACUGAAACAUCUUAGUACCCGGAGGAAGAGAAAGAAAAUUCGAUUCCCUUAGUAGCGGCGAGCGAAACGGGAAGAGCCCAAACCAAAAAGCUUGCUUGUUGGGGUUGUAGGACACUCUAUACGGAGUUACAAAGGACGACAUUAGACGAAUCAUCUGGAAAGAUGAAUCAAAGAAGGUAAUAAUCCUGUAGUCGAAAAUGUUGUCUCUCUUGAGUGGAUCCUGAGUACGACGGAGCACGUGAAAUUCCGUCGGAAUCUGGGAGGACCAUCUCCUAAGGCUAAAUACUCUCUAGUGACCGAUAGUGAACCAGUACCGUGAGGGAAAGGUGAAAAGCACCCCGGAAGGGGAGUGAAAUAGAACCUGAAACCGUGUGCUUACAAGUAGUCAGAGCCCGUUAAUGGGUGAUGGCGUGCCUUUUGUAGAAUGAACCGGCGAGUUACGAUUUGAUGCAAGGUUAAGCAGUAAAUGUGGAGCCGUAGCGAAAGCGAGUCUGAAUAGGGCGUUUAGUAUUUGGUCGUAGACCCGAAACCAGGUGAUCUACCCUUGGUCAGGUUGAAGUUCAGGUAACACUGAAUGGAGGACCGAACCGACUUACGUUGAAAAGUGAGCGGAUGAACUGAGGGUAGCGGAGAAAUUCCAAUCGAACCUGGAGAUAGCUGGUUCUCUCCGAAAUAGCUUUAGGGCUAGCCUCAAGUGAUGAUUAUUGGAGGUAGAGCACUGUUUGGACGAGGGGCCCCUCUCGGGUUACCGAAUUCAGACAAACUCCGAAUGCCAAUUAAUUUAACUUGGGAGUCAGAACAUGGGUGAUAAGGUCCGUGUUCGAAAGGGAAACAGCCCAGACCACCAGCUAAGGUCCCAAAAUAUAUGUUAAGUGGAAAAGGAUGUGGCGUUGCCCAGACAACUAGGAUGUUGGCUUAGAAGCAGCCAUCAUUUAAAGAGUGCGUAAUAGCUCACUAGUCGAGUGACACUGCGCCGAAAAUGUACCGGGGCUAAACAUAUUACCGAAGCUGUGGAUUGUCCUUUGGACAAUGGUAGGAGAGCGUUCUAAGGGCGUUGAAGCAUGAUCGUAAGGACAUGUGGAGCGCUUAGAAGUGAGAAUGCCGGUGUGAGUAGCGAAAGACGGGUGAGAAUCCCGUCCACCGAUUGACUAAGGUUUCCAGAGGAAGGCUCGUCCGCUCUGGGUUAGUCGGGUCCUAAGCUGAGGCCGACAGGCGUAGGCGAUGGAUAACAGGUUGAUAUUCCUGUACCACCUAUAAUCGUUUUAAUCGAUGGGGGGACGCAGUAGGAUAAGCGAAGCGUGCGAUUGGAUUGCACGUCUAAGCAGUAAGGCUGAGUAUUAGGCAAAUCCGGUACUCGUUAAGGCUGAGCUGUGAUGGGGAGAAGACAUUGAGUCUUCGAGUCGUUGAUUUCACACUGCCGAGAAAAGCCUCUAGAUAGAAAAUAGGUGCCCGUACCGCAAACCGACACAGGUAGUCAAGAUGAGAAUUCUAAGGUGAGCGAGCGAACUCUCGUUAAGGAACUCGGCAAAAUGACCCCGUAACUUCGGGAGAAGGGGUGCUCUUUAGGGUUAACGCCCAGAAGAGCCGCAGUGAAUAGGCCCAAGCGACUGUUUAUCAAAAACACAGGUCUCUGCUAAACCGUAAGGUGAUGUAUAGGGGCUGACGCCUGCCCGGUGCUGGAAGGUUAAGAGGAGUGGUUAGCUUCUGCGAAGCUACGAAUCGAAGCCCCAGUAAACGGCGGCCGUAACUAUAACGGUCCUAAGGUAGCGAAAUUCCUUGUCGGGUAAGUUCCGACCCGCACGAAAGGCGUAACGAUUUGGGCACUGUCUCAACGAGAGACUCGGUGAAAUCAUAGUACCUGUGAAGAUGCAGGUUACCCGCGACAGGACGGAAAGACCCCGUGGAGCUUUACUGUAGCCUGAUAUUGAAAUUCGGCACAGCUUGUACAGGAUAGGUAGGAGCCUUUGAAACGUGAGCGCUAGCUUACGUGGAGGCGCUGGUGGGAUACUACCCUAGCUGUGUUGGCUUUCUAACCCGCACCACUUAUCGUGGUGGGAGACAGUGUCAAGCGGGCAGUUUGACUGGGGCGGUCGCCUCCUAAAAGGUAACGGAGGCGCUCAAAGGUUCCCUCAGAAUGGUUGGAAAUCAUUCAUAGAGUGUAAAGGCAUAAGGGAGCUUGACUGCGAGACCUACAAGUCGAGCAGGGUCGAAAGACGGACUUAGUGAUCCGGUGGUUCCGCAUGGAAGGGCCAUCGCUCAACGGAUAAAAGCUACCCCGGGGAUAACAGGCUUAUCUCCCCCAAGAGUUCACAUCGACGGGGAGGUUUGGCACCUCGAUGUCGGCUCAUCGCAUCCUGGGGCUGUAGUCGGUCCCAAGGGUUGGGCUGUUCGCCCAUUAAAGCGGUACGCGAGCUGGGUUCAGAACGUCGUGAGACAGUUCGGUCCCUAUCCGUCGUGGGCGUAGGAAAUUUGAGAGGAGCUGUCCUUAGUACGAGAGGACCGGGAUGGACAUACCUCUGGUGUACCAGUUGUCGUGCCAACGGCAUAGCUGGGUAGCUAUGUGUGGACGGGAUAAGUGCUGAAAGCAUCUAAGCAUGAAGCCCCCCUCAAGAUGAGAUUUCCCAACUUCGGUUAUAAGAUCCCUCAAAGAUGAUGAGGUUAAUAGGUUCGAGGUGGAAGCAUGGUGACAUGUGGAGCUGACGAAUACUAAUCGAUCGAAGACUUAAUCAA
This 2921-nucleotide ribosomal RNA is filed under the name Staphylococcus aureus M0153. Its description in RNAcentral is "bacterial LSU rRNA". It matches the Rfam family "Bacterial large subunit ribosomal RNA". Lineage: Bacteria; Bacillati; Bacillota; Bacilli; Caryophanales; Staphylococcaceae. RNAcentral also lists the same sequence under 2 other names. The record is from RNAcentral.